This 1468-nucleotide ribosomal RNA is filed under the name human gut metagenome. RNAcentral's name for it is "bacterial LSU rRNA". It matches the Rfam family "Bacterial large subunit ribosomal RNA", at positions 509 to 1977 of the family's 2925-position model. The record is from RNAcentral.
GAAAGGUGAAAAGCACCCCGGGAGGGGAGUGAAAAAGAACCUGAAACCCUGUGCUUACAAGCACUGAGAGCUCGUCAAAGAGUGAUCAGGUACCUAUUGUAGAAUGGUCCGGCGAGUUAUGAUAUGCAGCAAGGUUAAGUACUUAAGGUACGGAGCCGCAGCGAGAGCGAGUCUGAAUAGGGCGUAAAGUUGUAUGUCAUAGACCCGAAACCGAGUGACCUAGCCAUGUCCAGGCUGAAGUGGAGGUAAAACUCCAUGGAGGGCCGAACCGACCUCCGUUGAAAAGGCGGCGGAUGAGGUGUGGCUAGCGGAGAAAUUCCAAUCGAACUCGGAUAUAGCUGGUUCUCUCCGAAAUAGCUUUAGGGCUAGCGUUGCAACAGAUUACCGGAGGUAAAGCACUGAAUAGGCUAGGGGGCGAGAGCUUACUGAACCUUAUCAAACUAAGAAUGCCGGAUAAUUGAUUUGCAGCAGUCAGACAGUGUGAGAUAAGUUUCAUUGUCAAAAGGGAAACAGCCCAGACCCACAGCUAAGGUCCCAAAGUACAUUUGAGUGGAAAAGGAUGUGGGGUUGCAUAGACAACCGGGAUGUUGGCUUAGAAGCAGCCAUACAUUAAAAGAGUGCGUAAUAGCUCACCGGUCGAGUGACCCUGCGCCGAAAAUUCAACGGGGCUAAAAUGUACACCGAAGCUUGGGAUUGCAGUUACUGAACAAAGCAGAUUGAUGAAAAGGAUGAAUCUGGCCGAAGGCAAAAUUCAACUUAAAAGCAAAAAGUCAGUAAGCUUUGUUCAGUAACUGCAGUGGUAGGAGAGCGUCGAAUACGGGGUGAAGUCAGAGCGGAAGCGCUGGUGGACUGUAUUCGAGUGAGAAUGCCGGAAUGAGUAGCGAGAAUUAUGUGAGAAUCAUAAUGGCCGAAAGUCUAAGGUUUUGGAAGGAAGGUUCGUCCGCUUCCAGUAAGCCGGGAGCUAAGGUGAGGCCGAAAGGCGUAGCCGAUGCACAUACGGUUGAAAUUCCGUAGCCUCCGAAGUAUUUAAACAGAAGGACACUUGAGAAGUGAUGAUGCCGGGCGAUGGUUGACCCGGUCGUAAGGGACCGAAAUUUAGUAGGGAAGUCAUCAUGGAUCGAGGCGAGAAAAGUUCUGUGAAUAUACAAGGAGCCCGUACCGCAAACCGACACAGGUAGAUAGGAAGAAAAUUCUAAGGCCAACGGGAGAAGGGUUGUUAAGGAACUCGGCAAGUUGACCCCGUAACUUCGGAAUAAGGGGUGCUCUCGAGAGAGAGCCGCAGAGAAUAGGCCCAGGCGACUGUUUAGCAAAAACACAGCUCUAUGCUAAAUCGAAAGAUGAUGUAUAUGGGGUGACACCUGCCCGGUGCCGGAAGGUUAAGAGGAGGCGUGAGAGCGCUGAAUUGAAGCCCCGGUAAACGGCGGCCGUAACUAUAACGGUCCUAAGGUAGCGAAAUUCCUUGUCGGGU